Juglans microcarpa x Juglans regia is the source of this 400-nucleotide long non-coding RNA. RefSeq lists it as uncharacterized. The transcript is spliced from 2 exons. Lineage: Eukaryota; Viridiplantae; Streptophyta; Magnoliopsida; Fagales; Juglandaceae. The record is from RefSeq and is a predicted model, not a curated record.
UAAUAGUCCACCAAAGUGAUGCACUGUCCAGGGCAAAAAGAAGAUAAAUUAGGAGAUAGAAAGGGAGGGAGGGGGGAGCAGCUAUAGAGAUCAGACACCACUCAGUUUUAAGAUUAGGGCUGCUGCAGAACUGUUUUACAACAGAAAUACAAGGUUUUAUCCAGUAUAUCAACUUGGCCAAAGGGAGACAUUACCUCAUGUUUGAAAGAGCCUAUCUGAGAGCAGGCCUGAUGGAGGGCAUCAAAGAUCUCGGUAUGGGUCUUGUUUUCAGCAAGGUAAUCAAGUGCCUGUGUAGCAAACUCCUCACACAAUGUACAAACUCUGUCAUUACCUGAAACUUCUUUCAAACUUUGAACUUCACUUAGUUCACUAUCUUGAUCCUGAUAGUUGGUUUGUAUAA